ACUCAUGACUAUGAAGUCAAAAUGCGUAACGUGUUCAAAUUCCUUGAAAACGGCGACAAGGUAAAAGUGACUCUGCGCUUCCGUGGUCGUGAGAUGGCACACCAGAAUCUGGGCCGUGAGCUGCUGGAACGUGUUGCCGUGGACACCAAGGAAAUCGGCAAGGUCGAGAACAUGCCCAAGAUGGAAGGUCGUCAGAUGAUCAUGAUGAUCGGCCCGCUGCCGCAGAAGUAAGCCCUGCGACAACUGCGUUAUUCGAAACCCCCUCGGAUUGAGGGGGUUUUAUUUUGCGCUUCGGCUUUUGAGCCAGACCCUUGCGUCAUUCACAUCAAA
This 330-nucleotide unclassified non-coding RNA is filed under the name Ruegeria faecimaris. RNAcentral's name for it is "Long range pseudoknot". The record is from RNAcentral. Lineage: Bacteria; Pseudomonadati; Pseudomonadota; Alphaproteobacteria; Rhodobacterales; Roseobacteraceae.